UACGUAGGGGGCAAGCGUUAUUCGGAAUUACUGGGUGUAAAGGGUGCGUAGGUGGUAUGGCAAGUCAGAAGUGAAAACCCAGGGCUUAACUCUGGGACUGCUUUUGAAACUGUCAGACUGGAGUGCAGGAGAGGUAAGCGGAAUUCCUAGUGUAGCGGUGAAAUGCGUAGAUAUUAGGAGGAACAUCAGUGGCGAAGGCGGCUUACUGGACUGAAACUGACACUGAGGCACGAAAGCGUGGGGAGCAAACAGG
RNAcentral lists this ribosomal RNA (253 nucleotides) under Anaerostipes hadrus ATCC 29173 = JCM 17467. RNAcentral's name for it is "Anaerostipes hadrus DSM 3319 partial 16S ribosomal RNA". It matches the Rfam family "Bacterial small subunit ribosomal RNA", at positions 524 to 776 of the family's 1533-position model. The record is from RNAcentral. Lineage: Bacteria; Bacillati; Bacillota; Clostridia; Lachnospirales; Lachnospiraceae.